Molecule: long non-coding RNA, 1463 nt
Filed under: Macaca fascicularis (crab-eating macaque)
Lineage: Eukaryota; Metazoa; Chordata; Mammalia; Primates; Cercopithecidae
Description: lncRNA (ENSMFAG00000051533.1)
Source: RNAcentral
UUUUUUUUUUUUUUUAGUAUUUUAGUAGAGGUGGGGUUUCACCGUGUUGCCUAGGCCGGUCUCAAACUCCUGAGCUCAGGCAAUACGCCCACCUUGGCUUCCCAGCAUUUAUUGUCUUUUAAAAAUCAUAGGCUUUCAGAGCUUUGAGAAAAGCUAAAUGCAUUCAUUAUCUAUUAUCUUAACAUGAGUAACCUGAGACUCAGAGGAAAUCCAAUGACUUACCCAAGAUAAACACAGUAAUAUGAGCCAAGACUAAAAUUUAGGACUCUUAGCUCUUUCUUUCUACACCAAUCGACUAGACAGUUAAAUUAUUAUGAAUAAUCAUAAUUUCUUACUUGCGUUUUCGGAGUUUAUAAUGCUGAAAAUCCCAGCUCAACAACGUUGCCUUUUCAACUCCUCAGGAGGGUAAACAACCCCACAAGUUGAUGGAGAACCCUGUCAAGUUCAUGAACUGGAGCCACAUCAGAGGAGUGAGCGCAGUGUGAGCUGUUCAUGCGCAUUUAGUCCCAGAACUCUGGGGAAACACGUUGAGUCCUUUGACACAUUUUUGCUCCUUGGUUUAUCAUUAUGUGCUCUUGGCCCAGUUACAGUGGAUAAUUCUUGAGGGCUAUUAUUAAGAUAUGAGCAAGGGAAAAAGAGAUGCGUAAGUUCUGAUUUUAGUAUAUAAUGUAGGCUAGAGGAGCAGAAAGAGUCUAAAUCAGCUCCAUAGGGCUUGGGGUCGAUGAUAUUAUGAUCAUUAACAUUUAUUGAGCUGCUACUAUUAACCAUCAAGCACUGGUGCAGAUGCUUUUCAUGUAGUACUUAAUUUAAUCCUCACAGCACCUCUAAGUGAUUCUCUCAGUCUAGUUUCCCUCAGAUGACUGUGAGACAAGUAUUCGAGUGAGUACAAGCAGUUUAUGUAAGUGAUGAUCUCAGGGAAUACUGGGAGGAGCAUAAGGAAGUGAGAUAGAGAAUGGAAAGAUGCCAAUAAAAGGUGCCUGAUGCAACAAAUUAUGACAUGGACAACUGGGGCUUACUCUGCUACACACGUGGUCAGAGCAGCUUCUGUAAAUUUAAAAGUAUUCUCAAGUUUAAAAAGUGCAUUUUAAAAAAUCUUGUCAAAUUUAGCUGGAUUUCAAUUGUGUAAAAAUGCUAGAGGUGACAAGGAACGCUCACAAGUUUUGUUCAGACUUGCCCAUUGUAGGAAUGGCCCUGACUUUUGCAUACAUCAAUCAGCUAUGUUGGAUCAUGUAUCUUUGCAUUGGCGAGACAGACAGGUGCUCCUUAACCUAGGUCACUAUUUAGUAAUCAUAUACUUCUUUCCUCUUGGGUAUCAUCUGGACUGCUAUGCAGGAAGGAGUACCAACAAAUCUUUCCCAGAAGUAAAACUGAAACAAAGAGCCAGUUGUUUCUUGGAAGUGAAUUUCAACGUGUGAUACCUGUUUGGCUCACUUUCCAAGGUAUGGGUGUUACACAUGUGAGGA